CGGGACAUAGCUGCUUGUGAUGUUUAGUUGUGUGUUAGCUAACUGUUUGUGUCAGUGCUGAGAAGCUUUCUUGCUGUGUUGCAUGUAUUGGGUGGUGAUGCCUUUUGUAGUGUUAAUAAUAAUAAUAAUAACCCCCCUCCUGAUUCCCGCUAUGCUGCUCCAAAGUGGCGGUGGGGUGUACAUGGGUAGAAUGGGCAAUGCACAUCAGAAAUUUAUUUCUAGUAAGGUCACCCAAGGCAAGAAGGCUAUUCCAUUAUGCUCAACUAAAUGUAAGCAGUUGCCCCCACUUCAUUCAUGUUU
This 300-nucleotide long non-coding RNA is filed under the name Androctonus crassicauda. The record is from RNAcentral. Lineage: Eukaryota; Metazoa; Arthropoda; Arachnida; Scorpiones; Buthidae.